RNAcentral lists this ribosomal RNA (406 nucleotides) under uncultured bacterium. RNAcentral's name for it is "bacterial SSU rRNA". It matches the Rfam family "Bacterial small subunit ribosomal RNA", at positions 355 to 773 of the family's 1533-position model. The record is from RNAcentral.
UGGGGAAUCUUGCGCAAUGGGCGAAAGCCUGACGCAGCGACGCCGCGUGGGGGAUGAAGGCCUUCGGGUCGUAAACCUCUUUCAGCAGGGAAGAAGCGCAAGUGACGGUACCUGCAGAAGAAGCACCGGCUAACUACGUGCCAGCAGCCGCGGUAAUACGUAGGGUGCAAGCGUUGUCCGGAAUUAUUGGGCGUAAAGCGCUCGUAGGCGGUCUGUCGCGUCUGCUGUGAAAACCUAGGGCUUAACUCUGGGCGUGCAGUGGGUACGGGCAGACUAGAGUGCGGUAGGGGAGACUGGAAUUCCUGGUGUAGCGGUGAAAUGCGCAGAUAUCAGGAGGAACACCGGUGGCGAAGGCGGGUCUCUGGGCCGUAACUGACGCUGAGGAGCGAAAGCAUGGGGAGCGAAC